Molecule: ribosomal RNA, 441 nt
Filed under: uncultured bacterium
Lineage: Bacteria
Description: bacterial SSU rRNA
Rfam family: Bacterial small subunit ribosomal RNA
Source: RNAcentral
AGAGUUUGAUCCUGGCUCAGAUUGAACGCUGGCGGCAUGCCUUACACAUGCAAGUCGAACGGCAGCACGGGGGCAACCCUGGUGGCGAGUGGCGAACGGGUGAGUAAUAUAUCGGAACGUGCCCUAGAGUGGGGGAUAACGUAGCGAAAGUUACGCUAAUACCGCAUACGAUCUAAGGAUAUAAAAGCAGGGGAUCGCAAGACCUUGGCGCUCGUGGAGCGGCCGAUAUCUGAUUAGCUAGUUGGUAAGGUAAAGCCUACCAGCGACGAUCGUGCUGUCUGGAGAGACAGCAACGGACGAGACCGCCGAUCUCGGAGCGCGUGGGAUUUGACAUGGGCACCUGAUCGCAUGCGCGUGUGUGAGANGCCUCGGUUGUAAGCCCUUUGUCAGGAACAAACGGUUCGGUUAAUACCCUGGGCUAUUACGUACUGAGAAUAACCC